This 271-nucleotide ribosomal RNA is filed under the name uncultured archaeon. RNAcentral's name for it is "partial 16S ribosomal RNA". It matches the Rfam family "Archaeal small subunit ribosomal RNA", at positions 477 to 747 of the family's 1478-position model. The record is from RNAcentral.
CAGCGCCCCGAGUGGCAAUCGCGUUUAUUGGGCCUAAAGCGUUCGUAGCAGGUUCUGUAAGUCUUUUGUGAAAUCGGCAGGCUUAACUUGUCGGCGUGCAGAAGAUACUGCAGAACUCGAGACUGGGAGAGGUCAGAAGUAUUCCUGGGGUACCGGUAAAAUGGGUUAAUCCUAGGAGGACUACCGAUGGCGAAGGCAUCUGACCAGAACGGAUCUGACGGUGAGGGAUGAAAGCUGGGGGAGCAAACCGGAUUAGAUACCCGAGUAGUCC